GGACUACUGGGGUAUCUAAUCCCGUUUGCUCCCCUGGCUUUCGUGUCUCAGCGUCAGCACAUCCCCAGUCGCCUGUUUUCACCAUUGGCGUUCCAAACGAUAUCUACGCAUUUCACCGCUCCACCGUUUGUUCCAGCGACCCCUAGAUGGCUCAAGACCGCCAGUAUGCCAAGCAGUUCCACAGUUGAGCUGUGGGAUUUCACAAAGCACUUAACGAUCCGCCUACACACGCUUUAAGCCCAGUGAUUCCGCCUAACGCUUGAGACCUCUGUCUUACCGCGGCUGCUGGCAC
RNAcentral lists this ribosomal RNA (292 nucleotides) under uncultured bacterium. Its description in RNAcentral is "partial 16S ribosomal RNA". The record is from RNAcentral.